GAGACUCCUGUCUUAUCAUGGACCCUGAUGGGCUUAUUUGAUUCAGAUGUCCAAGUGUGGAAUUGCCAGCCUUUCCAGAUGAGACCCUACCAAUGCGGCCACUGCUCCCAGUCCUUUUCCCAACCUUCGGAACUGAGGAACCACGUGGUCACUCACUCUAGUGACCGGCCUUUCAAGUGCGGCUACUGUGGUCGUGCCUUUGCCGGGGCCACCACCCUCAACAACCACAUCCGAACCCACACUGGAGAAAAGCCCU
Molecule: small RNA, 256 nt
Filed under: Pongo abelii (Sumatran orangutan)
Lineage: Eukaryota; Metazoa; Chordata; Mammalia; Primates; Hominidae
Description: processed transcript
Source: RNAcentral